RNAcentral lists this unclassified non-coding RNA (328 nucleotides) under soil metagenome. RNAcentral describes it as "partial contains 5.8S ribosomal RNA, internal transcribed spacer 2, and large subunit ribosomal RNA". The stretch from base 1 to 120 matches the Rfam family "5.8S ribosomal RNA", at positions 35 to 154 of the family's 154-position model. The record is from RNAcentral.
GAUGAAGAACGUAGCGAAAUGCGAUUAGUAAUGUGAAUUGCAGAAUUCAGUGAAUCAUCGAAUCUUUGAACGCACAUUGCGCCCCCUGGUAUUCCGGGGGGCAUGCCUGUUCGAGCGUCAUUUCAACCCUCAAGCUCUGCUUGGUAUUGAGUCCAUGUCAGCAAUGGCAGGCUCCAAAAUCAGUGGCGGCGCCGCUGGGUCCUGAACGUAGUAAUAUCUCUCGUUACAGGUGCUCGGCGUGCUUCUGCCAAAACCCCAAUUUUUCUAUGGUUGACCUCGGAUCAGGUAGGGAUACCCGCUGAACUUAAGCAUAUCAAUAAGCGGAGGA